GGCAUAUGGGGACUUGGAUUUGACUGUCCAUCCUUUCAACAAUUAUUCCUGUAUGUACUCCUUCACCUCCUUAAACAGCGGUUUUGGGACAGAUGAGUAAGUUCUCUGUCCAGGAAUUUCAUCCUUGAGGGUGAUCGUUGUUGAAUCAGAAAAGUCCAUGUUGGGUGAGACCUGGCACCUGACUCAUGCUACCUGACCUGCUGGAAUGAGGGUAUCUUGUCUGUCUGUCCGUAGGUGUCCACACUGCACAGUGGGUUUGUUGGUCUGGAUGAAAUUCUCCAGGAGCUCUGCUGUUUCUGCUGGUAUCUACAUGGCGCUACUGAGCAGAGGGGUGGGAAUCAGCUUUUCAGGUUGUUCUUGCAUCAUCCCUUCCAGCACGUUAAAACCUAGCAGUGGCCUCUCCAAAACGAGACUGCUGACAAGAAAAGGGACAGUUAUUGACAGGCUCAGCGGCCUAAUGGUGAUAUCAGCUCUCCUCAUCCCCCAACUUGAAACAAGACAAGACACUGGAACGAUCGACGUGGCAAUCUGGAACAGUUCGGCUGAGGGGAGAGAGAGCAAAUCUUUCUUGAUGGCCCAAAAUCAAGCUUUUCCUCUCGACGUCCGCCAUGGCUGCACCCCUAUUCCUCACACUGGGUCACACAGUCCAGGAUCUCUAUUCAGUCUCUGUCCUCGUUGAUUGGUGUUUUCUGCACAGCACUGUCACCACAGUUACCAUAAAUAUUCAUAUACACAUUUACAUAAACCGUCCAAAUAUGAUUUGGCUGUUACUGCAUUGUAAUAUACGCUGAUACACAAACGCCAUGAAAUAUGACUGACCCGUUGACAGUAAACCUAUAUUAACCGCUAAACAUGUGCAAACCUAUACAAACGUGUAGUUUAAAAACUUUUCCAGCACAACACAAUUUAUAACAGUAUAUGGAGCCAACCUGUCGGCCUAUAUUAUUUCAGGCCAAAUUAGCAGAGACGUGUGGCCCAAAAUAACACCUACUUCAACACGCUCAUCACUUGUACAAACGGCAGGUUUAGCUAACGUGCUCAUUACUUAAGAAUUGUUUAUUUUUUUAAGGAAAAAGAAAACAGAUACAACCUCAAAUCAUGUACCACCUAAAACCUAGUUCUUACAGGCAUACAAAUGGGAUCCCACUCUAGUGGGCAUCACAUGUGGUAUUGAUCAUUUUCUAUUUGGUUUUAUCAAAAUAAAAUAUUUUAUCAGGCUGUUAUAGUGUUUUUUCUGUUGGGUAAAUGUAUGGAAUAUUGACUAUGUAUUUCCUGUUGUUGAGGCC
This is a long non-coding RNA of Esox lucius (northern pike), 1286 nucleotides long. Lineage: Eukaryota; Metazoa; Chordata; Actinopteri; Esociformes; Esocidae. The record is from Ensembl.